This 381-nucleotide ribosomal RNA is filed under the name uncultured eukaryote. RNAcentral's name for it is "partial 18S ribosomal RNA". It matches the Rfam family "Eukaryotic small subunit ribosomal RNA", at positions 592 to 976 of the family's 1831-position model. The record is from RNAcentral.
CAAUAGCGUAUAUUAAAGCUGUUGCGGUUAAAAAGCUCGUAGUUGGAUUUCUGUCAAGGACAACUGGUCCGCCCUCCGGGUGAGCACAUAGUUUGGUCUUGGCAUCUUGCUGGAAACUGUUGCUGCGCUUGGUUGUGUGGUGCAGCUUUCAGCACUUUCACUUUGAGGAAAUUGGAGUGUUUCAAGCAGGCACAUGCCUUUGGACACAGUAGCAUGGAAUAAUUAGACUGGGCUUUUGCUCCAACUUGUUGGUUCCUGGAGCUGAGGUGAGAAUCAAUGGGGAUUGUUGGGGGCAUCCGAAUUUAGCCGUCAGAGGUGAAAUUCUUGGAUCUGCUAAAGACGGACAACUGCGAAAGCGUUUGCCCAGGAUGUUUUCAUUGA